This 288-nucleotide long non-coding RNA is filed under the name Vulpes vulpes (red fox). Its description in RNAcentral is "lncRNA (ENSVVUG00000002201.1)". Lineage: Eukaryota; Metazoa; Chordata; Mammalia; Carnivora; Canidae. The record is from RNAcentral.
CUGAAACUAGGAGAUGUGAGUUGGAGACUUUUCUUUUUUAUGAAUGAUAUGAACUCUUCACUUUCUGGGCCUUAGUGUUUGUAGUUACCAUGUACAAAAGACUUCAGUAGUAGAUAGGAGACCUUCGGGGAGCAAAUCUGAUCACAUGUAUAAACUCCUGCCAAAUUGCCAAAGGAAAGGAUUUGAACAGAGGAGUCUCAGAAAGCAACUAAACCACCCGGAAUCAUAGUGGGGGUAAAAACAAUCAAGGUUAGGACUGGGCUGGAAAUGAGACCUGUUUGUGCUCAC